RNAcentral lists this unclassified non-coding RNA (346 nucleotides) under soil metagenome. RNAcentral describes it as "partial contains 5.8S ribosomal RNA, internal transcribed spacer 2, and large subunit ribosomal RNA". The stretch from base 1 to 120 matches the Rfam family "5.8S ribosomal RNA", at positions 35 to 154 of the family's 154-position model. The record is from RNAcentral.
GAUGAAGAACGCAGCGAAAUGCGACAAGUAAUGUGAAUUGCAGAAUUCCGUGAAUCAUCGAGUCUUUGAACGCACAUUGCGCCCCCUGGUAUUCCGGGGGGCAUGCCUGUCCGAGCGUCAUUGCUGCCCUCAAGCACGGCUUGUGUGUUGGGCCCCGUCCUCCGAUCCCGGGGGACGGGCCCGAAAGGCAGCGGCGGCACCGCGUCCGGUCCUCGAGCGUAUGGGGCUUUGUCACCCGCUCUGUAGGCCCGGCCGGCGCUUGCCGAUCAACCCAAAUUUUUAUCCAGGUUGACCUCGGAUCAGGUAGGGAUACCCGCUGAACUUAAGCAUAUCAAUAAGCGGAGGA